GUGGGGAAUAUUGGACAAUGGGCGAAAGCCUGAUCCAGCCAUGCCGCGUGUGUGAAGAAGGUCUUCGGAUUGUAAAGCACUUUAAGUUGGGAGGAAGGGCAGUAAGUUAAUACCUUGCUGUUUUGACGUUACCGACAGAAUAAGCACCGGCUAACUUCGUGCCAGCAGCCGCGGUAAUACGAAGGGUGCAAGCGUUCAUCGGAAUUACUGGGCUUAAAGCGCGCGUAGGUGGUUUUGUAAGUUGGAGGUGAAAUCCCCGGGCUCAACCUGGGAACUGCCUCCAAAACUGCAUGACUAGAGUACGGUAGAGGGUAGUGGAAUUUCCUGUGUAGCGGUGAAAUGCGUAGAUAUAGAAAGGAACACCAGUGGCGAAGGCGACUACCUGGACUGAUACUGACACUGAGGUGCGAAAGCGUGGGGAGCAAACAGGAUUAGAAACCCUGGUAGUCC
This 450-nucleotide ribosomal RNA is filed under the name uncultured bacterium. RNAcentral describes it as "partial 16S ribosomal RNA". It matches the Rfam family "Bacterial small subunit ribosomal RNA", at positions 354 to 796 of the family's 1533-position model. The record is from RNAcentral.